RNAcentral lists this ribosomal RNA (440 nucleotides) under uncultured bacterium. RNAcentral's name for it is "partial 16S ribosomal RNA". It matches the Rfam family "Bacterial small subunit ribosomal RNA", at positions 338 to 795 of the family's 1533-position model. The record is from RNAcentral.
CCUACGGGUGGCAGCAGUGGGGAAUAUUGCACAAUGGGGGAAACCCUGAUGCAGCGACGCCGCGUGAGUGAAGAAGUAUUUCGGUACGUAAAGCUCUAUCAGCAGGGAAGAAAAUGACGGUACCUGACUAAGAAGCCCCGGCUAACUACGUGCAAGCAGCCGCGGUAAUACGUAGGGGGCAAGCGUUAUCCGGAUUUACUGGGUGUAAAGGGAGCGUAGACGGCAGCGCAAGUCUGGAGUGAAAUCCCAUGGCUUAACCAGGGAACUGCCUUGGAAACUGUGCAGCUAGAGUGCAGGAGAGGUAAGCGGAAUUCCUAGUGUAGCGGUGAAAUGCGUAGAUAUUAGGAGGAACACCAGUGGCGAAGGCGGCUUACUGGACUGUAACUGACGUUGAGGCUCGAAAGCGUGGGGAGCAAACAGGAUUAGAUACCCUUGUAGUC